GGACAAUUAACUCAGCUGGUAGAGUGCCUUCUUGACGUGGAGGAAGUCAGCGGUUCGAGCCCGUUAUUGUCCACCA
RNAcentral lists this transfer RNA (76 nucleotides) under Bacillota bacterium. RNAcentral describes it as "tRNA-Val". It matches the Rfam family "tRNA". Rfam says of the family: Transfer RNA (tRNA) molecules are approximately 80 nucleotides in length. Their secondary structure includes four short double-helical elements and three loops (D, anti-codon, and T loops). Further hydrogen bonds mediate the characteristic L-shaped molecular structure. tRNAs have two regions of fundamental functional importance: the anti-codon, which is responsible for specific mRNA codon recognition, and the 3' end, to which the tRNAs corresponding amino acid is attached (by aminoacyl-tRNA synthetases). tRNAs cope with the degeneracy of the genetic code in two manners: having more than one tRNA (with a specific anti-codon) for a particular amino acid; and 'wobble' base-pairing, i.e. permitting non-standard base-pairing at the 3rd anti-codon position. Lineage: Bacteria; Bacillati; Bacillota. The record is from RNAcentral. RNAcentral also lists the same sequence under 3 other names.